ACUUGCAGGUAAAAGAAGGCAGUAGUGUGUCUGCAGCGCUCUCAAAUCUCUCUGAGCCCUUCUCUAGUUUGUAAGAAAUGCCUUCCAAAUUUCAGUUCUGCUGUGGGCUUCGCAUAUCUGUUUUGGUGUCUCUCUAUUUGCUUUUCUCUUGCAUCUUCCUGCCGAGUUUAUGGUGGCAGGGAGCUUGUUUUCAACAACUCCCUGAAUGCAGCAAGCAUCCCCACUGGGGACAGGGCCGUUAGUGACGAAAUAAUUGCUCACUUGUCAUUGGUUGCCAUGGUAACACCUGUUCUUCUCACACCACAUUCACCACCAGUCUAAUGUCUAAUUUUAUCAUCAGACACCCUGCCUCUUUUCACCAUAGAGUUGAUAAUGAACCUUUAAAGUUUGGCCUUUAGAGAAAUAUUUUUCCCCUUUUUAGCCCGUAAAAAUGAGCCACGUUUUCACUGUCAUCAACUUCUGAAUGACUUUAUAAGGUUUCAAAGAGUUAACCUUGAUGUGUCUCCCAAGGCUUCUAAAGAUGGUUAACACAGGGACUUGCCAAGAACGAUGCCUUUAUUUUACAAGUGGAUGUCCUCAACUCUUGGUCCUUUCCACAUUACGUGUAUCACUGUAAGUCAAGAAUUCUUCCGAACUAAAAACAAUUCCACGAAGUCAGUUUCCAUCUGACUAUAGACAGACGUAAGCCCCUGCCUUCGAUUUUACAUUCCUCUAAAGCCAAAGGAUAAGAAAACAUGUCAAAAACACCCUUGUUUCUGAACCACCAGCUGUUUGUAAUACGGUCUUAUUUCAGCGAUUGGCUGUUCGUGGAGGGCACCAGUUUCCGGGCUGCUCUGUGGCCUCUUUAAAGCACACCGAGGCAUCUCCAAGCCGGCUUUGUCAAAAGCCAAGAACAUUUUUUAGGCAGAGACUCUGAGCUAGCUGCCACAUAAACAAACAGGAGUUCACUUUGGCUUCCUGAGUUUUUUUGGACUGACAGAAAGUGCUAAGGGGAAGACAGAAGCCAACAGGACAGCCUGGGGCGACUGGGAGCUCAGGAGGAAGAAGCAGUGGAUUGCUGGCACUGGCUCCCUGCUCAGGGCGAGGCUGUGAAAGUGUGAGCUGUGAACCAACGUCUGGAAAAGCUCUCCGCUGGACAUUUUGCCCUUGGCCCCAAAGGCUGGAUGAUGUCGGGCUGAAGAGAAUCUACCUUGGAUUCCUCGCCUCUAUUCAUGGUGCCAUGCCCGUCGAUCAACCCCGGCCCACCAGCCUGAGGGGAUCUUGUUGACAGACAGUUACUGUGUCAACAGACUCAUUUUGUGAAAUGGAAAUUGGAAGAAGCCUAAAAUAACAGAGCAGAGGAUGGAAACCCAAGCUGCUUUUGCCACAUGCAGCCCAUGCCUGCAGUGAGCUGGAUCUGGAUGCGUGUACCUGAAUUCACUUUAGUUUAUCACGAGGAAUGCUUCAAUGCUGUCCUGGAAGUGGAAGCAUUAACUAUGCUGUGAACAGAAAUUGUCAGGAAGAAGAAAGGGGGAACCCUUCAAAUAGUGCUAAUAAAAUGAGUCCUAAUGAGGCCUCUCAGACAUCAAAUGGGCAGAGUGAAAACACGCUUUGAUGAGGUCCUGAUCAACUCAUGAAUAUUUCUCUGGGCACCUACUGCAUGAAGCUCUUGCCAUGGACAGGCAGAAGACUGAAUUCUAUCAUGAGUCGGUCCAUGAACUUAAUAGCAUCUUUCAAGAGAUUUGAGUGGACAGUUUCCACCAGAUAUACAAAUAACUGACAAUAACAAAAGAAAACGUGACUAACAUCAGUUGCCGCUAGGGAAAUGCAAAUGAAAAUCAUGAUUAUUCAUUUUCUCCUAGCAACGAUCACCUAUGGGGACGAAGUUAUUGUCCCCGCGUUGUCCACUGCUGAGGUGCCCAUGUUCCAAUGGAUAACCCAGGUGGCAGCCAGGUUUCAAUAGCUAAUUCAGGCAGACAAGGUUAAACUCAGCAUGUCACAACUCAAAACCAAAAUAAAAAGACAUUAUAGUUAGUGGGGCAUGGAACUUGUUGGGAGCAGAGGCAUGUUGAUUGAGGGGGAAUAGUGAGCAUAGCCAAACUGUGUUAUCCACAGGUAUGAAAUUGUCAAAGAACAUAUUAAUAAAGAUAACAUUAACUAGCACACUCUACCAGGAGUAUGAUUACAGAAGAAACGACACUGGCUAACUAGUGAAAGUAGUGAUGUGAAGAAAUUAUAACUGUUAUUCAAUUGAUGUUCAAAAUGUAAAAUGGUGCUGCUGCUUUGAAAUACAGUCAAGGUCUCCAAAAGAUGAAGCACUAGAAGACCUUAUCAUCUAGCAAUUCCACUCCUAGGUGUAUAGCCAAGUAAGGUGAGAACACACAUCUGGGAAAUCUUAUACAGAUGUAUUGUCUCCAAUAUCCAAAAGGCAGGAACAGCCCAAGCAUCUAUCAUUCCCGAAUAUUUUAGAAAAAUACAGUAAGCUCAUACAAUGGAAUUUUCAGCCAUCAAACUUAGGAAGUAUUACUCCAUUCUUCAGCAUAAAUACACCUUAAAUGUAUCACACAUGCUAGUCAAAAGAGCAAGUCACAAAAGGCAAGUUGCUGGGUGAUUCCAUUGCAUCAAUAACAAGACAGGUAACUCCAUAAGAGCACAAAGUAAAUUAUGGUUUCCAGGGACUGAAAGGGUUCUAAAAAAUGGGGUGUGCCUGUUAGAAGGGAUCGGGUUUCUAAGGUGAUGAAAAUGUUCAAAAACUGACUGUGGUAAUGGUUGAUAGGCUCCACAAAUGUACUUAAACACAAGUGAGUCAAAUGUAUGAUGUAUGAACUGUACUUCAAAAAAAGCUGUUGUCAAUUUUAAAAGAGUGUUUUGAGAAAUCUGGAAGCAGAGAUUUAAAAAGACUGUUGCUGUAACACUGUCAAACCUAUGAUUAACCCGUGACAUCAACUGGCUUAGCCCCCAUACUGGGAAGCAGGCAUCAGAGGGAGAGAUGAGGUAAGAGGCUCUUCAUAGCCUGGUGUUCACCAGUCCCACCAGGGAUGCCAGGAGGAAGAAACCCUCACCAGAGCAGACAGACCCAUUCCAGGACCUCCUCUGUCCCGUGCUCCACUCUGGCGUCACUUGUGUAGUCUGCCACCUAAGGCAAACGGAUGUGAGUGGGUUCAUCCAAGAAAACACUCAAAAGCUUGCCUAGACAGAGUAUGAGCUCAGAAACUGCUCUUUUACCUCAGUGGCUUAAGAAUUUUGAUUCAUUUGGUAACAGUUUAUCUUUGAUGACGGACAAUGAAUGACUCAGUUUUGUGGCGUUUAGCACCUCCAUUCUGGGAACUUACUCAAACACAUUUUACUUAUUCCACAGACAGCUAUGGACUUCGGCCCAAGCUUCCUCCUUCCUUCUGGCUCCCAUAAUAGGGAAUUUAUUGUAUGUUGAUCCCUCAGGAGAAGUAAGGGGAGGUUGUCAUGUUACCGGCCAUUUAUUCACCAGCACUUGGUGAAGACAUCCUAGUCCUAACUAUCCCAGCAAAUGCCUUCCUCUUCACAAGGAAUCUCUGACCUUCCACAGGCUCUCCAAUUGAAGUGCCUGAAAGGAAAGGCUGGAAGCCAGGACAUGAAUUCUCCUCUGUAGUUCGGAUGGUGAAGAAGAUGGUUCCUCCUCUUCUUCAUGACAUCUUGAUGGACUGUGUUCCUUCUUCAUUGGAGCCAAAAUAAACAAUUCCCUCCUUAAGCUGCUCUUCUCAGGCAUUCUGCCUCAGCAAUAAGAAAAGUAACCAAAGAAAAAAUGGCUGAAAUGGGGGAAGACUAGAGCCCGAGCUAUGUGAAGAAGAGUAAGUAUUCGACUUCAGAUGUGUUAGGUUUAAGACACAGAAGUAGAGACGGCAAGGCUGUGAGAGGGACUCAUUGAGAAGCCCGAAGAUUAAAGAGUCAUCAUUGGGACUGGAGAGAUGGUUCACAGGUUAAGAGCACUGGCUGCUCUUCCAGAGGUCCUGAGUUCAGUUCCCACUAACCACAAGGUGGCUCACAACCAUCUAUAAUAAGAUCUGGUGCCCUCUUCUGGUGGGCAGGCAGACAUGCAAACAGAACAUUGUAUACAUAAUAAAUAAGUAAAUCUUUAAAAGGAAAAAAAAAGUAGUCAUCAUUGUGGAGAGAAUAUUUAUGACCAAACUUACAGAUGGAGCCAUCUAGGAAAAGGGGUGAAAGAACUGAGUUCCAGAACACCUGUCUUUUUGUUGAGCAAUGGAGAGGAGACAGCUAAGAAACCUGGAAUGAAGGCUGAGGGGAUAAGAGAGAGCUAGGGAGCUACUUCCUUAGAAGCCAAAGCUGGGGUGGCUUUCAAAUGGAUCUAGAGGGCCACUGUCCAAGUCUCAACAGUUCAUCUUGCUUUUUAAAAAGCAAAGAAAAUUAAGAUGGUUGUGUAUCAUGAGGAUCACGGUAGUGCACUAGGAGUAGAAGUCGGACAGGGCUGAAAUGAAUGGGACUUAAUUUUCUUUCAGUAUGUGAACUUGUCUAAUGGCCCUGGGUUUAUGUUCUAUCAAAACCCUAGCCACAGAAUCUGAAGCCAAAGUGGGCAUUUUGAUCUGUUUUUAUGGGUCAUAAAAGAAGUAAGAGAAUGGAACACGAAAGAAAAAACAAAGCUGAGGUGUUUUUAAGUGAGCUGGCCAUUGCUUGCUGCUGAAUACACUUGACUACUUGAAUUUAAUGAAUUCUAGUAGAGAAUGCAUUAUCCCAUCUAAGAACAGAAUGUCCAGGAGUCAGGAGAGAGGAAAGAAAUUGCCCCGUUUCACUCUGUCAAAGUCGAAGUGAGCUUCAAUGACAGCAUCUCUGGAAUCUGCAGUAAGUGAUGAAGGAAAACAAAGCCCCUGCUUGGGGGCUAUUUGGUCAGUAUGCACAGAAGCAGUGUCUCCCUGCCAUGCAUGCCGCAUGUGGGCGCGGCUCAAACAUGUAGUAGAGCAGGGUAACCAUGAGGACCUAUCUGUUUUUGCAUCUCUGGAAACAGCAUGGCGAUCACUCUUGCCAGACGCAAGAACUUAUACAGACAAAGGAGGCAGGAGCCUACAAGCUAUGGCCAGUAAGAUCUGAAUCCAUGUCAUCGUCUGUGGAACUGAAUGUGGUCUCUCCUAUAUCAGCUCUGCCCUCUAUGAACAUUCACUGUGAAGAACUGCUCUUUCGCUAAAACACAUAUGUCCAGAAAAACAUAACCAGGCAAGAGCUAUGGAUCACUCAUGCCUGCCAUGUGCCACUGGGACAGAAGGACUGCCUAGGGAAUUAUUCUCCUGUCUCCAGAACCUCAGAGAUCUUAGAGACCUCUCCCCUGAUCCCUGCCUCAGAAACUGUACUCCUUGAUACUCUUUUGGAAGAAGUACCUUAUCACAGUCCCAAACAAGGGAUUUCCAGCCACAGCGGCCAGGAUGGGAAGAAUGGCAGUUAAAAGUUGAUCACCCAUGGUUUGCCACAAUCUGCCUUUCAAUUAUAUAAGAAUCAACAGGAAAUCUAAAUUAGCAUGCUUGGACCUAAAUGAGCCACAAGCCUGCCUCUUACUGAAUUAACCAGCUCAACAAUUUCUUCUUGUAAUAAAUCAUAUUGAAAUUUUGUUUUGUUGUUUGCUUGUUUGGAGGACAGGUUUUCAUAUAGGCUGGUGGAAAACACAUUAUGUAGCUGAAGAUGGCCAUAAACUCCUGAUCCUCCUGUCCCUAUCUCCCAAGUGUUGGGUCAUAAACACAAACACUUUAAAAGCUCUCUCUAUGAUAUCUAAUACAAAUCCAUAAAUUUCAUAUAGCACUUGCCUAGCAAUGUAAAAGUAUUAGAAGCAAAUAGAAAAUGGGCCUUAGCAUUUAAAUAAUUUCCCCAGAAUCACAGAAUCAAUAAGAGGCAUUUUCAUAUAUGUAUAUAAUAUACCUUGUUCAAAUUCACCCCUCUAUUGCUAUUUUAACCCCUUCUGCCUUCCAUUUUUUCUUUCACUUUCUACCCUGCUUGAUUUCAUGCCCUUUUUCUCCUCU
Molecule: non-coding RNA, 5972 nt
Organism: Peromyscus maniculatus bairdii (prairie deer mouse)
Lineage: Eukaryota; Metazoa; Chordata; Mammalia; Rodentia; Cricetidae
Source: RefSeq, a predicted model, not a curated record